CGGCAGAAGAAGCUAAUGGGACGAUUGUCACGGAUGUGUUUCAAAACAGUUGGUUCAAAUCACAGUUCAAGGCUAAUCAUGAUUUUCUGGAGGCUCAAAAAAUAUGCAGAUCAUUAAAUCUUAGUAAGGAUUUUGGAUACGACCUCCCCAGUUUUAUCAACAUGCGUGAGCUUAGAGAAUUCUCCACCAUGGCUUCUGGAGAGCUGAACAACAAUUUCAUUGCUUCUACAUACACCGACAACAAUACGGAGUACUGGUGUAAUUUGGCAAAAAAUAACGGGAGGAUUCUGAGAAUCAAUUCAAAAAGUUCUAACAAUUGGCCCGUGGACGUAAAUUUUGUUAAUUACGAUGAAUUUGAGACCCUGGUGCAGCCCAGUUUUCUGUAUAUGCCUAAAGGAAGCUUGAAGUUUGCAGCUGCAACGUUCAAUCAGUCACUUGGUGUUAACUUUUUUUACUGCAGACCUCAAUUAAACUACUAGCAAACGUUUCCUUCAGUUUGUGUAAUAUCGGCAUGUUUUCUCUUUUUGCGCUUUGAGUUCAAUAUUGUUUUGCCGAUUAGGAAAUAAUGUGGUCAGUAUGAAAUGGCACUCUAAAUGUUGCAAUCGUUUGUUAGUCACGUUCUAGUUCAGCUAUUCAUCGUGCGUGAUUCAGUGGUGUUGGGAACAUAUAAAAAACUAUUAUACGAACUGUUUAUCUCAUGUCAGCAUGGAGCUGCUGCUGGAAAUUUAUAGCUAUUGCUUAAUGUGAAAGAGUUGACUAACUGUAAAUGACGCUCGUAUUGGUCACAACUGCUUUAAUUUUUCAG
Cloeon dipterum is the source of this 805-nucleotide long non-coding RNA. RefSeq lists it as uncharacterized. The transcript has 3 exons. Lineage: Eukaryota; Metazoa; Arthropoda; Insecta; Ephemeroptera; Baetidae. The record is from RefSeq and is a predicted model, not a curated record.